UACGUAGGGUGCAAGCGUUAAUCGGAAUUACUGGGCGUAAAGCGUGCGCAGGCGGUGAUGUAAGACAGAUGUGAAAUCCCCGGGCUCAACCUGGGAACUGCAUUUGUGACUGCAUAGCUGGAGUGCGGCAGAGGGGGAUGGAAUUCCGCGUGUAGCAGUGAAAUGCGUAGAUAUGCGGAGGAACACCGAUGGCGAAGGCAAUCCCCUGGGCCUGCACUGACGCUCAUGCACGAAAGCGUGGGGAGCAAACAGG
RNAcentral lists this ribosomal RNA (253 nucleotides) under uncultured bacterium. Its description in RNAcentral is "partial 16S ribosomal RNA". It matches the Rfam family "Bacterial small subunit ribosomal RNA", at positions 524 to 776 of the family's 1533-position model. The record is from RNAcentral.